GACGAACGCUGGCGGCGUGCUUAACACAUGCAAGUCGAACGGAAAGGCCCUGCUUUUGUGGGGUGCUCGAGUGGCGAACGGGUGAGUAACACGUGAGUAACCUGCCCUUCACUUUGGGAUAACUUCAGGAAACUGGGGCUAAUACCGUAUAGGAGCUCCUGCUGCAUGGUGGGGGUUGGAAAGUUUCGGCGGUUGGGGAUGGACGCGCGGCUUAUCAGCUUGUUGGUGGGGUAGUGGCUUACCAAGGCUUUGACGGGUAGCCCGCCUGAGAGGGUGACCGGCCACAAUGGGACUGAGAGAGGGCCCAGACUGCUACGGGAGGCAGCAGGGGGGAAUAUUGCACAAUGGGCGGAAGCCUGAUGCAGCAACGCCGCGUGCGUGAUGACGGCCUUCGGGUUGUAAACCGCUUUCGCCUGUGACGAAGCGUGAGUGACGGUAAUGGGUAAAGAAGCACCGGCUAACUACGUG
Molecule: ribosomal RNA, 468 nt
Filed under: uncultured bacterium
Lineage: Bacteria
Description: partial 16S ribosomal RNA
Rfam family: Bacterial small subunit ribosomal RNA
Source: RNAcentral